ACCAACAAUAAAGGCAAAUGGCAAAGUCUCAGUGAAAAACCUUGACCUGUCACUGAAAGCCAUUGUCAACAUCUAAAUGUCAGAACACAACUUUUAAAAGGAUUUGAAACUAGAAUGCAUUAGGAGAAUCAGUACAACAUAGACAAUUUAUAAGGAUGCAAAUGAAAGAGGUCAGCUCAUAACUUUGGGCCUGAAGGGAAAGCCACACUGGUUUGCUGUGGACAAGAUUAUGAGUUGCCAUACCGAAGAAUCUUAAUGGUUUUUCUACACUGCAGUUCGAGACCAUGCUGGCACAAGCAAAGGUACCAGAUAGGAAAAAUAUCCAGCCUCUUUUUAUUUUCAGUCCUAAAACACAGCUACAGUGAACAAAUACAUGUGGCCCAAUAAAGUGUGCAUUGAUUUAUAA
Neofelis nebulosa (Clouded leopard) is the source of this 406-nucleotide long non-coding RNA. RefSeq lists it as uncharacterized. Lineage: Eukaryota; Metazoa; Chordata; Mammalia; Carnivora; Felidae. The transcript is spliced from 3 exons. The record is from RefSeq and is a predicted model, not a curated record.